RNAcentral lists this ribosomal RNA (261 nucleotides) under uncultured archaeon. RNAcentral's name for it is "partial 16S ribosomal RNA". It matches the Rfam family "Archaeal small subunit ribosomal RNA", at positions 748 to 1008 of the family's 1478-position model. The record is from RNAcentral.
CAGCCGUAAACUAUGCGCGUUAGGUGUAUCGGUGACCACGAGUUACCGAGGUGCCGAAGGGAAACCGUGAAACGUGCCGCCUGGGAAGUACGGUCGCAAGGCUGAAACUUAAAGGAAUUGGCGGGGGUGCACCACAACAGGUGGAGCCUGCGGUUUAAUUGGACUCAACGCCGGGAAGCUCACCGGAUAGGACAGCAGAAUGAUUGCCGGGCUGAAGACCCUGCAUGACUAGCUGAGAGGUGGUGCAUGGCGUCAGUGACU